This 406-nucleotide ribosomal RNA is filed under the name uncultured bacterium. Its description in RNAcentral is "partial 16S ribosomal RNA". It matches the Rfam family "Bacterial small subunit ribosomal RNA", at positions 30 to 526 of the family's 1533-position model. The record is from RNAcentral.
AUUGAACGCUGGCGGCAGGCCUAACACAUGCAAGUCGAACGAGUGGCGGACGGGUGAGUAAUGUCUGGGAAACUGCCCGAUGGAGGGGGAUAACUACUGGAAACGGUAGCUAAUACCGCAUACCAUCGGAUGAGCCCAGAUGGGAUUAGCUAGUAGGUGGGGUAAUGGCGCACCUGGGCGCAGGUCCCUAGCUGGUCUGAGCGGAUGACCAGCCACACUGGAACUGAGAGACGGUCCAGACUCCUACGGGAGGCAGCAGUGGGGAAUAUUGCACAAUGGGCGCAAUCCUGAUGCAGCCAUGCCGCGUGUAUGAAGAAGGCCUUCGGGUUGUAAAGUACUUUCAGCGGGGAGGCGUUACCCGCAGAAGAAGCACCGGCUAACUCCGUGCCAGCCGCCGCGGUAAUAC